Molecule: long non-coding RNA, 10656 nt
Filed under: Capsicum annuum
Lineage: Eukaryota; Viridiplantae; Streptophyta; Magnoliopsida; Solanales; Solanaceae
Description: long non-coding RNA (CANN_LNC009509)
Source: RNAcentral
UAAAUAAGUGGAUGAUCUGAGAAGUUCUAGAAUACAAGAAAAAUAGAAAAUAUCCUUACACUUUCCUUUCUCUCCUCUCACUAUUAGACCAGAGUAAAAUCAUACAAAUGCACGGCGAUUCAAGUUGUUUUGGCGUUUAACAUGGUAUCAGAGCUCAGAAUCGUGUAGCUCUCACUCACAACUACCUUUCGAUCCUAUACUCGAGGCAUUUGUCGACAGUUCGUAUUCCCACAGUUUCUUUUGUCAUUUUGAUCUUUUUGGUGAGAAUUUAGUGAGUAUGUUGAGCAAGGUUUUUAUUUCUUCAAGCUAUCGAAGAAGGACGGUAACAUUUUUGUUAUGGACUUAUGGACUUUUUCUUUUCUAGUAUUGAGCUCUCACUGUUGUGUAUUGAACUAGCAGGACCUGUAUAUUGUUGGUUUGGAUGUGUUAACCGGUUAUGUUGCUGAUUUUAACUGUCUAUCGAUUUGUUGGAAUCUGUAUAUUGGUGGUUAGCUGAUUAUAGUGUCGGUUUAGCUGAUUUUAGUUGUUUUUUGGUUGUUUUUUUACUAGGUGUUAUGGGGGAUAACACCACUACUGCUUUCUCUGAUAAAUUUACCCUCUUCUUCAUCAACCCUUCUUACCUAUUCGAUAAUCCUAACACUUCUAUAGUUUCUCCUACCUUUGAUGGAAACUAUUUUGCUGCUUGAAGGAGGAAUAUGCAUGUGGUUCUCUCAGCCAAAAACAAGCUCGACAUAAUCACUGGAAAAAAUUCCCAACCAUAAAAAAUUUCCCCAUAUUAUUUAGGAUGGUAACGAUGUAAUGAUAUGCUAAUAGCCUGGAUGAUAAAUUCGUUAUCCAGGAAAAUUGAACUUAGUUUAAUAGGAUACACUACUGCUAAAGAAAUUUGGCGGGAUCUCAAUGAACAUUUUGGGCAAUCAAAUAAUUCCAAAUAUAUUCAAAUCCAGAGAAAAAUCAGUUCUAUUACUCAGGGUUCCUCAGGUAUAAUGAGUUAUUUCACCAAAUUACGAAUUCUAUAGGAUGAACUUCAUACCUCUUAUGUGUGUCCCAACUGCACAUGUGGUACUCUACCAAAAUUGUUGAAAAAGAACAACUAUUUCAGUUCCUAAGUGGUUUAAAUGAAUGUUACUCAUCUUGCAAAUCCAAUAUCUUAAUGAUGUCUCCUUUGCCCUCUAUCAGUAAAGCAUAUUCUAUGUUGCAACAUGAUGAACAUCAAAAGAAACAUUCCCCACAUAUUCUCAGUUUCUCAAUUUUUCAACUGAGUUUUUAUCCUUUCUAGCAUCCACUAGCUCUUCUAAUUCUUAUAAGAGGAAGGUUUAAGCUGGUCCAAAUCAUAGAAUUCAUUUUGACUCAAGAAGAAGGAACACUUAUUAUCAUUAGAAGAUCCAGUUUGAGUUCAGGAAAGGAAAUUCUGGCGUUAUUGCUACUGACCACUGCAAGUACUGCGAAAGGUCUGGUCAUGUUAUUGAUGAUUGUCAUAAACUUCAUAGGUUGUCAGCAGAUUUUAAAUUCACUAAGAAAAAAAAAGCCUCUACAUUAUGUGUACAGAAUGUAAAAUCUACAUCUGAAUCUAGAUCUUUUUCAUUUGUUCUUGUUGGUUUCAAUAAUGACUAAUAUCAACACUAUCAAUAUUUGCUCAGUUUACAACAGUAGUUUUCUUCUUCUAAAGGAACCUUUGAUGAAAAUGUUGUUUUUAGUUCUUUUGAAGGUUUGGUUAGCAGCUCUACUGUUAAUAAUAUUGAUUCAUAUAUAUGUGUAGCAUCUUAACUAUGUAGUUCUAGUGUUUAGAUUUUAGAUUCAGGGGCAACUAACCACAUGACCCCAUAUAAACACCUCUUACAUAACAUACAACCCUUAUCCACUCUAUAUCUAAUCACUCUUCCCAAUGGGUACAAAGUGAAAGUCAUAACCACUAAAUUUUUAAAAUUCAGACAUGAUUUAAUUCUUCACAAUGUACUCCUUGUUCCUUAUUUUUUAUUUUAAUUUGAUUUAUAUUCAUAAAUUACUUGUGCAACUUCAGUGUUCUGCCAUUCUUAUAAUUUCUGCUUGCUUUUUAUAGGGUCUUUCUCUGAAGAGGCCAUUAAAAAUUGGUAAAGUGGGUAAUGGGUUGUAUUUUCUUUAUCAAGAUCACUCUGUUGCACCAUCUUCUAGUUCUUCUACUCAUCGGUUACCUAUUUCUAAUAAUUUUAGUAAUUUUUCAAUUCCCAGAUGUGAUUUUGAUGAUUUUUUCAUUCUUUGUUCAUCUAGGACUUGUGUUACAUACACUCUAAAUAGUGAUCCUUGUAUUUCUAAUACCACCUCUUUUAUACAUAUUUCAAUUACUAAUAAUCAGAUCUUUUCUGGCAUCAAAGGUUGGGUCAUUUACUUUUUCACAAAAUGAAGUCUAUACGUUGUUUAGCUGAUCAAUUAUAUUUUAAACAAUAAUUUUUGUGUCCAGUUUAUUCUAUGACUAGACAACAAAGGUCCUCAUUUCCUAUGCGUUCCAUCAAGUCAACUGUUUCUUUUCAAUUGGUACAUGUAGAUAUAUGAGGCCCUUACAACACAAAAACCUAUAACAAUUAUAGAUAUUUUUUGACUCUUAUAGGUGAUUUUUCUAAAGUAACAUGGACACAUUUAUUGUCAUGUAAAAGCAAUGACCUUUCUGUUCUAAAAACCUUUGCGAACAUAAUUCAAACUCAUUUUUGAAAAUUUGUUCAGACUUUUAGAACAGAUAAUGUCCUUGAAUUAGGAGGUAGACCAUGGAAUACUUCAUCAAACCUCCAUUCCUCAUACCCCCAACAAAAUGGAGUUGUGGAGAGGAAACAUAAGCAUCUACUUGAAGUAUCUAGACCACUCCUCUUUUAAUUCAAUCUUCUUAAAAAAUAUUCGGGUGAAUGUAUUUUGACAGCCACAUAUCUUAUUAGCAGAUUACUUUCCACUGUUUUACACAAUUUAUCCCCCAUUGAGAGAUUGUAUGGCUCUCCUCCCUCGUACAACCAUCUCAAAUCAUUUGGCUGCCUUUGCUAUACUACCUUUCCUAAAAUAGGUAAGGAUAAAUUUCAAUCAAGGUCCAUCUUUGUUGUAUUUUUUGGUUACCCUUCUGAUUAGAAAACAUACAAACUCUUAGACCUUAACUCACGCUCUAUUUUCUACUCUAGAGAUGUUAUAUUCCAUAAAAAUAUAUUUUCCUAUCAUACUCUGGAUUUUCUUCAGUAUCUCCUAUGCUCACAUCUCCUUUUGUAGACACUCUUCCCACUACCACUUCUAUACCAAUUGUUGUCUCUUCUUCUAUUCCUACUCCUACAGCUACACCAACUUCUUCUUCUACCAUUUCUUCUCCUGCCCCACUUAGUUCUGUUGUAUCUGCUCCCUUAAGGAAGUGCACCAGAAUUACUCACAAACCUUCACACCUUACUGAUUAUGUUUCUAACUUAAUCCUUCCUAACUCUGUCUCUAUUGGUCCUCAGCCUUCUCCUAGUGCAGUUUACAUGCAUGAACCUUAAUUUUAUCAACAAGUUACCCCUCACCCUAUUUGGCAAGAAGCAAUAUUGAAAGAAUUCCAAUCUCUUGAGGUCAAUCAAAUAUUGGAUAUUGUUUAUCUCCCACCCCAUAAAAAGACAAUUCCAUAUAAAUAGGUCUACAAAAUCAAACACAAGUAUAAUGGCUCUAUUGAGAGGUACAAAGCUAUACUUGUCAUACAGGGGACACACAAAAGGAAGGUAUCGAUUACAACGAGACCUUUUCCCCUGUUGUAAAGCUUACCAUUAUUAAAUACCUUUUAUUUUUGGCUAUUAAAAAGUAUUGGACUGUUUUUCAACUUGUCUUAAACAACGCUUUCCUCUAUGGUCAUCUUAAUGAGGAGGUUUAUAUGAAAAUUCUUUUGGGCCUUCAUGUUUCUACUUCUUCCCCUACACCCUUAGUUUUUCGCCUAAAAAAGAGUCUUUAUGGGAUCAAAUAGGCUUUCCCCUAAUGGUUCUCUCAUUUAUCCGAGGCUUUAUUAUCUAAAGGAUUCUCUUAUAGCAGAAAUGUUUAUUCCUUUUUCACAAAGGGAUCUUUUGAUUCUCUCAUUAGUAUUAUUGUUUACGUUGAUGACAUACUACUUGCUGGGUCUGAUGUGUCUUAGUUGACUGCUCUCAAAUCUUUCUUUGAUGCGGAAUUUAAGAUUAAGGAUUUUGAAAUUGUUCACUAUUUGGGGGCUGGAAAUUAACACUACCCCUACUGGUUAUGUAACGACCCAAGACUACCCCCUAGUUGUCAUACGGUGCUUAAAAUCACAAGUGAUCCCAAGCUAACCCAUGAACUGGCAUACUGUUAAGCAACUGAAUUAUAACUUAAUAAAUAGUUGUUCUGUUGUGCGGAAAUAUAAUCAUACUGAGAAUUUAAAAUAGAUAUAAUACUGAUAAAGCUUUACAAUCUGAUAAAUCUAAAGAAUGAAACUGGAAUUUACAUGACUGAUUUUGACUAACAUUUAUGAAACAUAUACUAUAUUGACUAUAGAUAGCUGAAACAUACCUCCAACUACCACUAAUCAAUACACAUGAAAGUAAAUGAACUGUACAUUAACUAAAAUUGUCUGGAGUUUCUGAAGUAGGAGAACUCAUCACCUGCAGGCUGGAAUCUGUAACUGUCUGAUCGUGAUGUACGAGCUACAACUGGUACCUAAAUUAUGAAACAAUGUAGCCAUACAGACGUAUAUAUGGAUCAGUACUUUUGGAAUAUACUGAGUAUGCAGGGGUGAAUACAAUAAGUAAAACUGAUUUCAUAAGUAAUCGUAAAACAUGCAUGCUAAGUGUAAGUAGACUCACUAAUAGGCUGGAAUAAACUGAAAACUAAAAUAUCUUAAAGCAUGAGUGACAAACAUUCUCUAAUAAGAUGGUGAAUCUCUACACUUAGUUUAUGUAAAACUAUACUUUAAUGAUAUAAGUAUAACUAAAGUUGGGAUAUGAUAAAACAUAGAUACUGUAUAAAUAUUGGGUCUGAAACUACGUGAUGGAGACUGACAUAAAUUGAGGAUCUGAAUAUACAAUCACACUUAGCACGAAUGUAUAAAUAUACUAACUUAUCAAAUUAACUAAAUGACUGAUUGCUGAAUACUAGGCAUGUAAGACUGAAUUGUACUUAGUCUAAAUAACUAGACUGAAACUGUACAGUAUUAUGCAUAUGAGAAAGGGACUGACUGAGUAACAUGAGAUAACUGAGCAUGAAUUUGUGAAGACUGUAUUAUCUGAGAAUGCAAGACCAAGUGUACAACAUGAUUCUAAAGGUACUGAAAUACUGAUAAUUGAAUAACUGAUAACUGUACGCUAUAGUCAAGCAAACUUGAAACUGAACUGAGUUACUAAUCUGAUUACUGGACUGAGACCGUGAUUGAAACUAUUACUAAGAUGGUAACUGAGACUGUACUAGAACUGAAAACUGUUUUCUGAUAACUGAGUAACUGAUAGCUGUAAUUACUGAUAACUGAGUUACUGAUAACUGGGUGACUGUUUUUGAUAGUCUUAAUUCUGUCUAAAUUUAGUUCUAUACUGAGACUGAAACUGAAAUUGUGGAAGGUAAUCAUCUAACCGACAUACCUCUCUAUGAACUGAUUGGGGUCCAACCUCUAACUCUAGUUGGAAGGGUGUCAGUACCAUGCCAUGGCUAAAGACAAGCUGAAGAGUCACCCUUAAUAUAGUAGGUGCUUUGAAUGAGAAUGAUGGUACCCUCAAUCUGAAAGGUAAAACACCUCAUCAACCCUCAAUCUGGCAGGUUGAUAUCUCAACCUACGCUGGCUAUGUAGUUUUGGAACAUAAGGACUGCUUCUAAGGAUCACACCCUCUACUGUCAGGUGAGUCCCUAUCCCUGGGUUCACUUGGUGCUGAAUCCUACUCUCAACUGAAUAGACACUAAACUAAUUUCUAAAUUGUAUUAGGCUGGACUGAACUGUGACUGAUCGUGUUCACUGACUGAAUUGGACUGAGUUCACUGAGUUUUGAUGUCUGACUGAAUACACUGAGUUCUGUACUGAUUGAAUAAUGCUGAUCGUGAUGUUUCUGAGACUAUCUUGUAACUACUGUAGCUCUAGGUUAGCAACUAGAUUUUUGGGUAUUAAAUACCCUCGAUAAUAUUGAAAGUGAAACAUGCGAUGAUCAUAAUAACAUAACAAUAGUAGCUUCUUAACAAUGCUUUCAUUUAGACAUUUUCUUAAACACUUAAAAGGCAUGGACUUGUACAUGAAUGAGACCACAUGAUAACAUGUCAUGACAAUGAACUUGAACAUGGGAAUAUCUUAAACAUAGGAGUAUAGCACGAUGACAUAACUAAGAUCAUGAAUUGGGGAAUUCACAUGUAAUUCACUUAAAAUAAGACAUGAGCGUUUCAUCAAAACAUGUAAAGUUCAUAGCUUGAACGUAAGAAUGUCUUAAACAUAAGGGAGCAAUAGAGUUACAUGGCUGUAAUGCCCUAAAAUCUAAUUUUCGAGACGCCACACGGUGCUCCGAACUACAAGUAGUCCUGAGUUAACCCUUGCCGCUUUCUACUAAAUCUGAAUCUCAAAAUUGGGAAAAAUGAAAUGAAAACAUCAUAAAUGCGAAAAUAUUAUCUGAAACAUACUAAUCUCACAAGUCUUGGUAAAACAAUGCUGAAAAAUCUUGAUACGGAAUUAAAAGUCUAAACUGAAUCUAGUAGUCUGACAAGCCUCUACUGAAUGAAUCUAGAGAGUCACUAGGACAGACCCCAGCUGACUCAAAACUAUCUGAAAUGAAUACUAAAUUAUCUACUAGAUAAAAGGAAAGUCUGAAUAGCUAAGUCCUCGAACUAUGGGGGCUCACCAACGGUAGAGAUGUAGAUGAGAUACUCGAAAAUCACUCACGCUGCUGAGACUGAGCACCUGAACCUACAUUAUAAGACAAUGUAGCACAUAGACGUAUAUGUAGAUCAAUACUUUGAUGAUGUACUGAGUAUAUGGGGGUGAAUGCAAUAAGUAAACAAUAUCAUCACAAUUUAUAAAGAAAAUUAUGCAUGCUAAAUGUAAAUAACUCACAUGGGUUUGAGUAAUCUGAAAUCUGAAGAUCAUAAAUCAUGAACAACAAAGCAUAUAAAAUAAAUCUUGUGAGUCAUUACAUUCAGUUCUAAAAUUUGUUCUUUCUGAAAGCUACUACAUUAUCUUAUCAAUUUGUAAGGGGAAUAUUUCAUCUCAAGACUUUAGGAAUCUUAAAAUCAUAGCUUUCAAAACAUAUUUUUUUAUCUUAAGGCUUUACGCCAAUAGACUAUUUUAAGAGUAGGAAACAUCUUAUUGGGAGGUUCUUCUAAUUGACAUACAUCACGUGAGCAUUCAUGGAUCCCCACGUCUUGCCCCCGUUGGGUAGGGUUGUUCUACCCUUGCCAUCGGAAUAGAACUUUUUAUCUUAUGUGAUCACAAUCUUAGUCAUCCACGUAGAAGUGGAAAUAAUCUUAAUCCUAUGGUGGCACGUAGUUCUGGGGUAUGAAAUGUAGUAACAUACCCAUCUCGGAGCUAAAUAAUACUCCCAUUCUUAUGCUCAGGAUCUUAAGGAAUCCACCUCAAAAAAUAUAGCACAAGGGUUUACAAGGAAACAAAUUAUGUUCUUUCUUUUCUUUAAAUCUCAAGUCUUAUGAACAAUGUGGAUUCUUUAUCUUACCUUAGGACCAAAAAGUCAAAUCUUUAUAAAAAAAUCUGAGAAUAGUCUUAUCUUAGGAUACUCAUAGCAUAAACAACCUUGAAACAACAAGCUUUAAUUAGGGCUUAAUGACCCAUGCAUCAAACUCAUGUUAAAACACCAAAAUGCUCAUACUUGAUAAUGUAAAUAUUGAUAAAUCAACUCAAAAUCUGGAAGUUUCAGCAAUGUGCAUGAAAAUAUGAACAUAACCAUGGAAUUUAACUUCUAAAUAGUUGGGAAUCUCAUAAGCUUGUAAAUAACAAUGAUGGGUAUAAACCCUAACUUGAAUUUCAUGAAAAAUCAUAUAAAUUUCAGUAAAAUUUAAAUUUAAAAUAAGUUUUUGGCACAAGGAUGAAAGGAUUAUCCUUGUUCAUACCCCACAUACCUUAAUUGAUGAUCUUUGAUGAAAAACUUGAAUCUUGGAUUCCUAUUGAUGCUUUGGAAAUGAAUUCUUAAAGCCCUUGUAUUGGGAAUCUUCAAUCUUGAAUUUCUUUGGAGAAUUAAUGGAGGAAUUUGGAUUUCUUGGGGAGAAAGUUUGUUGAACUAGGGUUUUGCUUGAGAGAUUUUAGAUGAAAAGUGAAUGUAAAGUGCUUUGAAGGGGUUUAAUUCAUUGUUUAAGACGGAUUAGGGAAUGGGAGAAUGACCAAAGUACCCCCUUUAAUCUUUGAAACGAAACUGGAAAAACCAAACUUUUUGCGAACUGGGUGGCCACCGCGACGCGCCACUAUCGUGGUGGCUCACUGAAAAUGGAUGAGUGGGAACUAGGCUUUCACCGUGACGUGCCACAAUCGCGGAGCCCUAUAGUUUAUCAUUUUGGCCACUGGCGCGACGCGCUAGUAUCGCGAGGUCUCACUGAAAAUUACCAAACAAAAAAUUGGGCCACUCCGCGAUGUGCCAAAAUUGCAAAGUCUCACUGAAAAUUUACAAUUGUGAUUUUACGCUUCUCCGCGACGCGCUAAGGGCCCAAAUUAUGGUGUUUUACGAUUGAAACUUAAAAUAGUCAUAACUUCUUACUUGGUUAUUGGAUUUAGGCGAAUUUUAUAUCGUUGGAAAGCUUAUUCAAUUUUCCAUACAAUGGGAGGUCUAAAUCUGUAUAAUUUCACACGAAAUAAAUAGUAUUCAUUUUGGAAGCUAUCCCUUAACAUUCUAGGAACGAAUUUAAGCUACAAAAAGUAUGGGGUAUUACAAUGCAAAGUUCAUAGCACGGGGAUUCAUCUUGAAAUUGACUUAAUCAUGAUAUGGAAAUUCCAUCAAACAUGUAGAUGACACGAAUUUAAAACAUGGGAAUAUUGCUAAACAUCAUGAAUUUAGAUUCCAUCAUGGAAUUUUUUUGAAUAAAGCAUGGGAAAUUCAAAUUCAUAGCAUAAGGAAUUUAAAAUCUUGCAUGGAAUUACACAUAGGCUGAUUUGAAUUAAAACCACCAUGAAAACAUGAAAUUCAAUCUUUCUUGAACAUACAAAAUACCAUAAUAAUGAAAAAUUUAUUCUUUAAUUAAAAGAAAAGAGUUUUUGGGCUCUAUGGGUGAAAGAAGACCCAUGGAUGAACUCUCACAUACCUUAAAGCUUUAAUCUUGAAGUAGAAACACAAUCUUGAAAGUAUUCUUGAAUUAGGAAAUUUGAGUUCUUGCUUUUCUUGAAGAAAAUUUGAUGAAGUUCUUGGUGUUCUUGAGGAGGCUAGGAUUUUUUUCUUUGAGAGAAAAGAUGAAUAGUUGAGUGUAUAUUACUUUUGGGGGUUGAAAUUAAGUGUUAUGAGCGGAUUUGGGUGAGGGGAAGUGGUCAAAGUGCCCCUAGACCCUUUAAAAACUGAAUCAGCGUGUGAGACAGUUCCGUAACGCGCAGGCCAACAUGUUGCGUCGCUAUCGCAUCGGCUUACCGCCUCACACAGAAAAUGUCAUAACUUUUCGUUCGGGUAUUGGAUUUAGGCGAAAUUGGUAUCGUUGGAAAGCUAAUUAAAUUAUCUACAAUUUAGUGGGUCUUGAGCUGUAAAAUUCUACGUAUAUAAAAAGUUAUACACAUUUAAAGUAUACCCUUGUAGAAUCAAAAACCAAACUUUGGAUGAAUCAAAGGCUCUAAGCUCAACUUUGUUCUAAUUGAUUCUUAUGAACAUUUUUUUCACCUCAAAAGCAAAUCAAACAUGAGAAUAAGGAUCAUGAAACUUAUAUUCACAUGGGAAUCAUUUAGAUUAUAGCUUAUACACGUAGGAAUGAUGGUUCAAAAACUAGCCUAAAAAUGCGGGGUAUUACAGAUUAUCUGAUCAGUCUGUGUCAAUACACUUUCGAUCUUCUCAAUGAAUUUCAUUGCUUUAACUACAGUUUUGUAUCCAUACCACUUGAUACUUCUGUUAAGUUGCUUGUUGACAUGGAUGCUCCACCCAUGGAUGCUUCUUCAUAUAGACGUCUUAUUAGCAAGCUCAAUUUUUUCAACAUACACGUCCUGACAUCUAUUUAGUUGUCCAACACUUGAGUCAGUUCUUAAAAAAAAACCAGGUUCCUCAUAUGAUGUAUGCUAUACAUGUGCUUCGGUAUCUUUUAACUUUCCCUGAUCAUGGUAUCUUAUUAUCCAAUUUCAGUGAUUUUUCUAUUGAUGCAUAUUUUGAUCUGGAUUGGGCUAGUUUUGUGAAUUCUUGCAAAUCAAUCACUGAAUUUUAUAUUACUUUGGGUGGUUGUCCUAUAUCAUGGAAGAGUAAGAAAUAACCUACUAUUUCCUUAUCAUCUGCGGAGGCUAAACAUAAGGCCUUCAUAAGGUCGUUGUUGUUGAGUUAUCAUGGCUUACGCAUCUUCUUGGUGAUAUGGGUUUUCCUAUUUGCUCUCUUAUUCUGGUGUUUUGUUAUUCUCAAGCCGCAAUUCAUAUUGCUAAGAAUCUGUAUUCCAUGAGCGUACUAAGCAUAUUGACAUUGAUUGCCACUUUGUUCGUGAUUACUUAUAUGAUAGUUUAAUUUCUCUUCAGUUUAUUCAUUCUGCAGAUCAACUGGUUGGUAUUAUGAUGAAAUCUCUUUCAGGAACUGCUCAUCAUCUUUUGCUUUCCAA